This 381-nucleotide unclassified non-coding RNA is filed under the name soil metagenome. RNAcentral describes it as "partial contains 5.8S ribosomal RNA, internal transcribed spacer 2, and large subunit ribosomal RNA". The stretch from base 1 to 120 matches the Rfam family "5.8S ribosomal RNA", at positions 35 to 154 of the family's 154-position model. The record is from RNAcentral.
GAUGAAGAACGCAGUGAAAUGCGAUAAGUAAUGUGAAUUGCAGAAUUCAGUGAAUCAUCGAAUCUUUGAACGCACCUUGCACCCUUUGGCAUUCCGAAGGGUAUGCUCGUUUGAGUGUCAUUGUACUCUCACACUUCUGAUCCUUUGGAUUGGGAGCGGUGGACUUGGGUGUUGCUGCUUUACUGUGGCUCACCUCAAAUGCAUUCGUGCAACUCUUGGUUGGACAUAGUACGGCGUGAUAAGUAUCUUCGCCGGCACCUCGCAAGAGGGUGGCUGAUCAGGAGCUCUGUGCUUUCCAACUGUCUUCAGACAACAACUGACAACUUGACCUCAAAUCGAGUAGGACCACCCGCUGAACUUAAGCAUAUCAAUAAGCGGAGG